RNAcentral lists this long non-coding RNA (447 nucleotides) under Salvia miltiorrhiza (redroot sage). RNAcentral's name for it is "long non-coding RNA (SMIL_LNC007719)". Lineage: Eukaryota; Viridiplantae; Streptophyta; Magnoliopsida; Lamiales; Lamiaceae. The record is from RNAcentral.
UAAUUCCGUCCAUUUUUUCAACGCAGAUUUGGGGGAUAUCAGAUAUCCCUGAUUAUUCUCGAUUUCCAUAAUCAAAUUGGAUCCUCAUUUGACUGCAAUGAAUUGUAUUUACCUCUUCCUCGUUCAGAAAUUAGAGAUUCAAAGAACACUCUCAAAACAAAAGAAAAGGUGGCGCCGAUCGCAUUCUGCAGUUUGAUUUCAUAGGGUAAUUUUUCAUUUGGUUUUCUUAGCUUGAUUUGUAUUUGUGUGUUUUUUCGUUGAAUAUUCAUUGUCGACGCAUACCAUAUACGAGAUUUUAAGUUUUUCUCACGGUUAAUCCCAGUUUUUCACGCAUACCAUAUUCAAUUCGCACAUCCCGAAAAUCCGUUGCAUCUCUCGAUCCUUCGAACGUCACAUUUGUUCGAACAAUGAAGAAAGCUUCAGAUCGGGACGAAGCUUUAGAUUUUG